This 72-nucleotide transfer RNA is filed under the name Marmota monax (woodchuck). It matches the Rfam family "tRNA". From Rfam's summary of the family: Transfer RNA (tRNA) molecules are approximately 80 nucleotides in length. Their secondary structure includes four short double-helical elements and three loops (D, anti-codon, and T loops). The record is from Rfam by way of RNAcentral. Lineage: Eukaryota; Metazoa; Chordata; Mammalia; Rodentia; Sciuridae.
GGGGCUGUAGCUCAGCAGCAGAGUGCUUGCCUAGUAUGCAUGAGGCACUGGGUUCAAUCCUCAGUACCCCCA